GGAUCGAUGAUGACACCCUCACAUGCAUUCCUUGGAAAAUUGAACAAAAUGAGUGAGAACUCACUACCGUCUCCUCAUCGAAACAGGUCU
This 90-nucleotide small nucleolar RNA is filed under the name Capra hircus (goat). RNAcentral describes it as "Small nucleolar RNA SNORD116 (ENSCHIG00010016811.1, ENSCHIG00020011183.1, ENSCHIG00040014818.1)". It matches the Rfam family "Small nucleolar RNA SNORD116". From Rfam's summary of the family: HBII-85 is a member of the C/D class of snoRNAs, which contain the C (UGAUGA) and D (CUGA) box motifs. HBII-85 is encoded in a tandemly repeated array with another C/D snoRNA, HBII-52, in the Prader-Willi syndrome (PWS) region of chromosome 15. The record is from Rfam by way of RNAcentral. Lineage: Eukaryota; Metazoa; Chordata; Mammalia; Artiodactyla; Bovidae.